AUUGAACGCUGGCGGCAGGCCUAACACAUGCAAGUCGAGCGGAUGACAGGAGCUUGCUCCUGAAUUCAGCGGCGGACGGGUGAGUAAUGCCUAGGAAUCUGCCUGGUAGUGGGGGACAACGUUUCGAAAGGAACGCUAAUACCGCAUACGUCCUACGGGAGAAAGCAGGGGACCUUCGGGCCUUGCGCUAUCAGAUGAGCCUAGGUCGGAUUAGCUAGUUGGUGAGGUAAAGGCUCACCAAGGCGACGAUCCGUAACUGGUCUGAGAGGAUGAUCAGUCACACUGGAACUGAGACACGGUCCAGACUCCUACGGGAGGCAGCAGUGGGGAAUAUUGGACAAUGGGCGAAAGCCUGAUCCAGCCAUGCCGCGUGUGUGAAGAAGGUCUUCGGAUUGUAAAGCAC
RNAcentral lists this ribosomal RNA (403 nucleotides) under uncultured bacterium. RNAcentral describes it as "bacterial SSU rRNA". It matches the Rfam family "Bacterial small subunit ribosomal RNA", at positions 30 to 433 of the family's 1533-position model. The record is from RNAcentral.